AAGGGGCAGAUCCGCAAAAUGGCUGUCAAGACGAGUUUAAUAUGUUUGACAUCCUUGCUUUUGGGGGUUUUGAGGGAACAGUUUGUCAUGGCGGCAGAUCCCGCGGUCCUAGAGCCUGCAAUCGAGAAGGAAGAAGAGCAGCAGGUUAUACAGACGCAUAAAAUCGACAGCUCCACCAUUUUGAUGUUACUAGGUCUUCUGCUGCUAACUAUCCUCACAAUCUGGUUCUUCAAAUUCCGCCGCUUCCGUUUUGUGCACGAGUCGGGGUUGUCGAUGAUUUACGGUAUGAUAGUUGGAGUGAUCAUCAGGUAUGCCAGUUUCAAACCUGAUACAAAGCCACCACAUGUUAAGAUUGUAGAAAGUGGAAAUGUGUCAUACUCCACUAGCAAGGCUCCGGAGUCUGUGUUGCUGGAUCUGAAAGGUCAGAGGAACGGGUCUAUAACCGUGCAAUACAACAUCUGGGGCGAAGUCAGCGAGGAAGAACAACAGCUGUCACAACUUGUUAUGGCUGUGACCUUUGAUCCAGAAUUAUUCUUUAAUGUUCUUCUGCCAUUUAUUAUAUUUGAGGCAGGUUACAGCAUGAAAAGGAGACAUUUUUUCAGAAAUUUGGGUUCCAUUAUGGCAUUUGCUUUUGUUGGUACGACGAUUUCCUGUGUAGUUGUGGGAGGAAUCAUGUAUGGUGUGACGAGACUGAUGGAUAUUUCCUUCACACUCAAUGACUGUUUCUUUUUUGGAGCAAUAAUCUCAGCCACAGAUCCAGUGACUGUGCUGGCCAUUUUCAGCGAUUUAAAGGCUGACGUAGAUCUGUUUGCUUUCAUAUUUGGGGAGAGUGUAUUAAAUGAUGCAGUCGCCAUAGUUCUCUCAGGGGCAGUAGAAACGUACGGCUCCUCCGCGUCUAAGUCCGGAGAAUCUAAGGGUUUCAGUGUUCAUGCCUUCUUCUCCUCCCUGGGAAACUUCGUCGGGAUAUUUGCCGGGGCAUUUGCAAUAGGAUCACUGAUUGGAUGUUUCACAGCACUCUUAACGAAGUACACGAAGAUUCGAGAUUUCCCUCUCCUGGAAACGGCCAUGUUUUUCCUGAUGUCGUACAUGUCUUUUCAGGCCUGCGAGGCUGCAGGGCUGACAGGAAUUGUAGCAGUGCUAUUCUGUGGAAUUACGCAAGCCCAUUACACAUAUAAUAAUCUGUCAGUAGAAUCGAAACUCAGAACAAAACAGCUGUUUGAAUUGAUGAAUUUUCUGGCAGAGAAUUUUGUCUUCCUGUAUAUAGGAGUGGCAGUUUUCACAUUCCAUUCACAGGAGUGGAACAUUUUAUUUAUCUUAUCAGCCAUUAUGGCUAUUUUUAUCGCAAGAUUUUUCAACAUCUAUCCAUUGUCACUUUUACUAAACUUAGGAAGAAAAAACAAAAUCACCCGACCAUUCAUGCAUAUGAUGAUGUUUUCUGGAUUAAGGGGUGCUAUAGCAUUUGCGCUGGCCAUAAGAAACACAGCUACAGAGGCUCGUAAGUUGAUGGUGUCGGCAACCAUGAUCAUUGUCAUCGUCACGGUGAUACUUGGUGGUGGUCUCACUACGCCGAUGUUGGGGUGGCUGCAGAUCAGAGUGGGAGUGGAAGAGGAGAAAGAAAUGACAAAUUUUGCUAGUCCUUCAGGGCAGGAGAAUGGAAGAAAAGGAAAAUGGCAAAGACAGUACAGCACCAUGGAAAACAUGAGGGACGAUUCUCAAUCACAGACGCAAGAAGAUAGCAACUCACAACAAGUUUUACCUUUGUUGAAGGGCAAUGCGGAGGAAACAGAAAGUAAGAAGAGAGACAAGGCCUAUCUUGUGGGGAAAUGGCACAAUUUCGAUGUCAGAAUAUUAAAACCAAUUUUAACUCACAGUCGACCAACACUGAUGGAAACAUUACCGGCUUGUUGUAUGCCGCUUGCCAGAUUAUUAACAACAGAGGAACAGAUGGCAGAGGGUAGGUCACACAUUGAGGAGGAUUCCGAUACAGACAUGAUAAUUGACCACAGAGAGCUGUCCAUUGGUGAGGGAAGCAGUAGUAAUAUAAGCGCUGCCGCCACCCCACAGCCAGACUUCCAGCAAGUCGAAAUUCACAAUCCAGCCAAUCAGGUGGAUGUUCAUAAUUUUCCAAUUGACCUUCAUACUCAAACUUCCUCUGUCUCAAGUGAUGAUCAACCUUUGACCCCAUGACCUUGACCUUAAUGCCUCAAACUUUCCUCUGAAAAUGCUACAAAUGCACUGCAAGUAAAGGAAGUGGGUUCAGAGGGAGGGGGUGUCUAUCAACAGAAGAACAUUUGUGUGAAUAUUCCAGGGUCCUCUGGAGACAGAGUUUGAUCACAAGGAAAGACAACUUUUCCAUCAUUACUGGUGAAUCUUAAGCACUUGGAGGUCAAAAUGUUUUUUUGGUAGAUAUUUGAAUUUGUUUUAAUUUAUGCACUAGAGGAAGUUAUUCUUUCAUCUGGAGCUGGUGAUGCAGGGCGUUUUGUGCCUCAGGUACAUUGCAUUGGUACACACAUGCCAAUAGAACACAGGCCGGUCCAGAUCGGAUUGCAAAACCUUGAACAAUUUUCAUUUAAUUUAUAGAUUCUUGGAAGGAAAAUAUUCCAACCGCUUUACCUGAUGUCUGUUUUGCUUGGCAGCAAUUUCAAAGUUAUAAUGGCCAUAAUGAUUGAAUUUAAUUCAUAUAAUUCAGAUGCAUGUUUUUCUUUUCUUCAUCUGUUUAAAGUUGUGAAAUGUCCAUUCCAUAUUUGUUGUGACUGGCUUUCAUGUGCUGCCAGAGUGUUUAUAUUGAACAAAAUAUUGAGUGACAGAACGGAAAAUGAUGGCCGUUGUCCAAUCCAGUCCACGCCCCUGCCCUGUGAUUUACUGAUCCUGACGUAUGUAGAUGUAUUGGAUGUGAGGUGUUCAGUAUGUACUUCUCGUCGUUAUGAACCAUGUCAUGUGGUCAGAUCGAACCCUUCUCGUCGUUAUGAACCAUGUCAUGUGGUCAGAUCGAACCCUUCUCGUCGUUAUGAACCAUGUCAUGUGGUCAGAUCGAACCCUUCUCGUCGUUUCUAUUUUAAAGUUGCUGGAGUUUAAAACUUGUAUUCACUCUUCCUCAGAUACUGAGGAUUUUCCAUUUACAUAUACUUGUACUUGCAUAUGUAUUUUGUAUGAAUUGUUUGAUUGCAAUGUUUAAACACUUCUUUUAAGAUCUGUUACUAAAUGUACAUUAGUGCAAGUACCUAGCUUAAUUAUAUGUACAUGUAACUUUGUAGGUGUAAGCCAAAAAUUAAGAUGAACACACUUUGAGUAUAGUACUGUGUAUGAAGUAUAGAGGUACUGAUACAUGUACAUGUGUAUCAUACAAUUUUUUAAUGAUUGAUGUUUGAUUUUGUUAAAGGGACACAGAUUCAAGUUUUGUUUUUCACUUUUAAUGAUAAAAAUCCACUGUGUUUUAAAGGUUUCACAAAAAAUUAAGGUUAUACAAUAUAUCGCAGAAGCUUAUUUUAGGGAGUUUAUUAUUUGUUUUGUAAACCAUGACUGUGUGGUAUGUUAUUGUUUACAAAGUUUUCAAAAGAAAUGGAUAUCGAUCUAAGUUUAUUUUAUCUAUCACAUUUCAAGUAUCAUUUAGGUAAUAUGUGUCAUCUGAAAGUUAAAUUUGUGACUGCUCAAAAUUAAGAUGCUGUAAAUUACAAAAUUAACAUUUCACUGGUUUGUUUGUAAACAUAAAAAGACCUGAGUCUUGGUUUACAUAACACAGAGGUAUUAGGCUAAAACAUUGCUCAUAUCCUUGCUUUCAAGAAGGUCAAAAUUUUGGCUAUCAACAUUAAUGAAUGGAAUUUUUAAUUUUUAUGAAAAACAUUUAAAAAAAAUAAAAUAAAAAUAACCUUGAACCAGUCCCUUUAAGGAGAAUUACAGAUUUACAUGUAGCAAUGUUUGAUUAUGUUAAUGAGUAUGUUAAUGAGGUCAUCAUUGAAAGAGAAUUGAUAAUGGUACACGACCACUAUUUGUGUUGUUGUUGCCAAUUGUUUUUGAAGGAUUCAUAACAUAUUUUAAGCAAUUAUUAUGAUACAAAUUAUUUCUCUCGUCCAAAUGUUCAUUCUUCAAGUCAAACAGUAUUAUCUAUCGAGCAGAGUUGUUCCGGAAUAUGUUUUAAAACCGUGUGCAUGUACAUGUUGGCAGUACCUAUAUUGAUAGUUUCCUUGGAAAUGGUUUCCUAAGGAUAGGAUACCCAAAACAAUUUGUUAUCGAAUUUUGUAGAACUAUUUAAAUGUUUUGAUAUUGCUAAAAAUCCAUAUUUACCACAAAGUUAUCCUAUGAAACCACCUUCAUUUUUGUAUUAUUCACAAAUCUUUUAUUGAAAAUUAUUGGAAAAAUAUUACCCAAAAAUUCAAAUUCAAAAAUGUCUUUAUUGGUGCAUUUUAUGUAUUAAUGACCAAGUACGUUGUUUGAUCAAAUGAUAGAAAUCUUCACAAAAAACAGCUAACUCUACUUAAUUUGAUGCAUUUAAAAUCUUGGGCAUCCUAGACCUUAUAGAAUGCAGGGCAAAACGUUUAUAUAAAACACAGAAACUGUAAUACAUAAACAAAUAUUAUGUAUUUGUGAUUCAUUUGUGUAAAGAAUUGAAGGUGAUAUUUGAAAGUGAUAUUUGCCCAAACUUAUAAUUUCUUUAUUUACAGUGGAUAAACCUUGUACAUGUAGGUGUGGUUAGCUUAGCUAGUGCAUGUACACCGACACUGUCGUUAUUGAAUGGUCAGUUGUGAUAGAUAUUGCAUGCAUUCCCACAUACAUGUAGAAUCAUAAUGUUCCUAAAGGAAACAUUUUUGUAAUAUCUUAAUUGCCAGUUUUUGUGAGUUUUUUUUUUUUUAUUUGUUUGCUAAUUAUCUUUGUGAUAGUGUCAAAAUGUUACAUAAUCAUGCCAGCAAAUUAAAUAAUGGCAGAAUUGUGGGUAUAAGAAUUCUCAUUUAAUUUUCAUUUAUACUUGACCUAUGUGUAAGGUUGAUGUUUAUUCACUUUGAUAUAUACAUAUAUUAUUGUAUAUCUCUUUAUACAAAAUUUUAUUUAUAUAUAGUAUGCAUGGUGAUUAAGAACAUUUACCCACAAUAAAUGUGUAUGUGUAAUGCCCCCACCCCCUUUAUACAAUGUAAACACAUGUUUAUUUUAUAUCUCUAGUAUGAUGAAAACAAAAAAAUAAUGACAUACAGAUUGAUCAGUCCAUCAAGUAUAACUUGAAAGUCACAAAUAAUUUACAUAUACUUCUCUUGAAAAGUCUCUUUAAAAUAUUUCAAUACAAAUCCAUCGCCCUUCUUUCUAUAGAUUUUCAUGAACUUUGUAUCUGAUUGUUGAGAUCCUCGAUUUGCAUUGAUGUAUUUAAUUUAGUUGAACCAGUGGUUUAGUUACAAUAUUUAGCCAGAUUGUUGGAGAGGUCAGUGUUUGAAUGCACAAGGUCAAUUCAUCUUUCAACAUAUUCAACAAUUACAUUCACUCUCAUAAGUUACAUUCACCACCAAGAAUUACAUUUCCCAUAUACAAUAUUACAUUCACCAUCAAGAAUUAGAUUUCCCAUAUACAAUAUUACAUUCACCAUCAAGAAUUACAUUUCCCAUAUACAAUAUUACAUUCACCAUCAAGAAUUACAUUUUCAGUUAACAAUCAUAUUCACUAUAUACAGUUACAUUUACCAUUAUAUACAGUUACAUUUACCAUUAUGUAAAAUUGCAUUUACCAUUAUGUAAAAUUGCAUUUACCAUAAUUUACAGCUAACAGAUAACAUAUUCAUUUAUCGUAGAAAAUUACAUUUUCACAGUUAACAAUCAUAGUUACUGUCAACAAUUCUAUAUCUACCAUAUACAGUUACAUUUAACAUAUUCAAUUGCAUUUACCCUAGACAAUUACAUUUACUGUAAAUAAUUACAUUAACUGUAUAAAAUUACAUUAAGAAUUAGUUUAAACAUAUUUUAUUGAAAAACUCAAUAGGAUCGGGCAACAGGCAUAGCCUAUGUAAGCCCUCUCCCAAAUACAAAGAUAUGAUUGAUAAACUGGAUUCUUUGAAGAUGUGACAGUAUUGUAAUGAGGUUUACAUGAAAAUAGUUAAUACGAGUUUUGCAGAAUUUUGCUAUGAAGUGAUUUUUUUUUUAGAUCAACAUGUUAACUUUGCCAAUUUUUAUCAAUACAUCAAGAAUUACAUUUACUGGUAGCUUAUUGCACAUACAUGUAGUUUUACCUAAUUAUCAAUUAAUUUUAUUUGUUUGGUAAAUUGUAUGCACUGUGUAGUCUGCCUUCUAUCCUUGUUUGCCCAACUCUCUAUACUGUAUAGCUUAUAGGUCACAGUUCAUUAUCUUUACCGUUAUAGGAGUUAAGAGAUUGAUCACUGUUCGUUAUCUUCACCUUUAUAGGAGUUAAGAGAUUGAUCACUGUUCGUUAUCUUUACCUUUAUAGGAGUUGAGAGAUUGAUCACUGUUCGUUAUCUUCACCUUUAUAUGAGUUAUGAGAUUGAUCACUGUUCAUUAUCUUCACCUUUAUAGGAGUUAAGAGAUUGAUCACUGUUCAUUAUCUUCACCUUUUAUUCAGUAUGCACUCAGUCUAGUUGUCUCUGGCCUUUGGUUGUGACACACGGUCUCUGAACAGUGUUGUUGAGUUUUAUUAGAAUUCAUGUCUUUCAGUUUUGAACAUAGAACCUGGAUACUUGUUUGUAACAACAUUAAAAAGAAAGGAUUUGAAUGCAUUUCUAUUUCAUCUUGCUUACAAAUUCAGAAGAUUUACAUGUAUUGAUUAAGCCACUGUAAGCUAUCACACAUGGUGUUUUAGUCUAUAUAAUUAUUCAUUAAA
Ostrea edulis (European flat oyster) is the source of this 6807-nucleotide RNA transcript. It is a transcript of the gene named sodium/hydrogen exchanger 6-like, with no coding region annotated. The transcript has 21 exons. The record is from RefSeq and is a predicted model, not a curated record. Lineage: Eukaryota; Metazoa; Mollusca; Bivalvia; Ostreida; Ostreidae.